Molecule: long non-coding RNA, 1116 nt
Filed under: Monodelphis domestica (gray short-tailed opossum)
Lineage: Eukaryota; Metazoa; Chordata; Mammalia; Didelphimorphia; Didelphidae
Description: lncRNA (ENSMODG00000039736.1)
Source: RNAcentral
GGCCGGCCGGCUCUCUACCCGAUCCUCCAGGGCCGGAGCUUUGGGAGGGACUUUUUCUUUUGGACAAGUUUGGGGGUGGGGAAAGAAUCAAGAUGCUCCUGGCCUUCCCUGGGCUCCCCGCAUGGUCCGCACCCCCUCCACCCCUGUGCUGGCCUAUGGGGCGUCCUGAGGCUUAUUUCUAGAGAAGCAUUGGGCUCUGGGCCCCAGGAGAGCGGCCACACUGGCGCCAGGGAGAUCCCGUUCCCAGGGCCUCCUGGACCGCUCUCUGGACCAAGGUGGACAGAAAAGAGCUCUCUGUGGCCACGCCUGGCCAGGAAUGCUCUCCGGAUCACAACGGACAGGAGCGAUCAGGGGCAUCCGCUCGGGGCAGCAGGACAUGAUGGACAGGGUACGAGAGCGGGGUUCAAAGGCUGCCCCUGGCACCAGGCGAGAGCCUCGCAUCCCGGGCCCGCCGUAGGAGGCUCAGGAGCCUCCCACGGCCCAGGGCCGCCUCCCACGGUGGGUCCUCCUCGUGCUUGGACCCGCCGGCUCCCUGGCCUCCCCCAGCACCCCGGGAGCUCAAGAAGCGGGAGCAGCCCCCCCUUCCUCCCCCGCCCGUCUGAACCUUUGCUCUUCUCCAGGUCCGGCUCAGGCCGGCUCUGGCCACCCCCACGGAGGGCUCUCUUCUCCCCUGACCUCUUCCAGACCCUGCCUGUCUUCGUAUCCGGCGGGGGCUCAGAGACUGGCCGGGCCCCCAGCCAGCACCCCCGCCUCCAGGCUGGCCCCAUCCCGGCAUCUGUGAGAGCUCCAGACGCGGAGAAGCCGCUGGACUUGGAGCCGGAGGCCCCGGGCCCUGAAUCCACGUUCUGGGGGGCCUCCCCGCCCCGAGCAGCCCACCCGCUGGGGCUCCCGUCCGAGUUGUGCUCGGGACUGACGGCUGCCACAGGUCCCCGCCGCUGGCCAUGGAAACUCGGGGGACUGCGGCCCCGAGGGAGCCCCAGGACCGGGAGGGGGACCAGAAGGACGCCCUCUGCCGCCCCGGGAGCACGAGCUCCAGAGGGCGGCUGGGCGCCGGGGAUCCUGCCGGCCUCCUCCAGGGGUCCUCUGACGGGCGAGGGCCCCCCAGGACGGCCCAGG